CAUUCACGGAGAGUUUGAUCCUGGCUCAGGACGAACGCUGGCGGCGUGCUUAACACAUGCAAGUCGAACGAUGAACCACCUUCGGGUGGGGAUUAGUGGCGAACGGGUGAGUAACACGUGGGCAAUCUGCCCUGCACUCUGGGACAAGCCCUGGAAACGGGGUCUAAUACCGGAUACUGAA
RNAcentral lists this ribosomal RNA (181 nucleotides) under Streptomyces sp. SID9913. RNAcentral describes it as "partial 16S ribosomal RNA". It matches the Rfam family "Bacterial small subunit ribosomal RNA", at positions 1 to 180 of the family's 1533-position model. The record is from RNAcentral. Lineage: Bacteria; Bacillati; Actinomycetota; Actinomycetes; Kitasatosporales; Streptomycetaceae.